This 438-nucleotide ribosomal RNA is filed under the name uncultured bacterium. RNAcentral describes it as "bacterial SSU rRNA". It matches the Rfam family "Bacterial small subunit ribosomal RNA", at positions 340 to 787 of the family's 1533-position model. The record is from RNAcentral.
UACGGGAGGCAGCAGUGGGGAAUAUUGCACAAUGGGCGCAAGCCUGAUGCAGCCAUGCCGCGUGUAUGAAGAAGGCCUUCGGGUUGUAAACCUCUUUCAGCAGGGACGAAGCGAAAGUGACGGUACCUGCAGAAGAAGCACCGGCCAACUACGUGCCAGCAGCCGCGGUAAUACGUAGGGUGCAAGCGUUGUCCGGAAUUAUUGGGCGUAAAGAGCUCGUAGGCGGUCUGUUGCGUCGGCUGUGAAAACCCCGGGGCUCAACUCCGGGCCUGCAGCCGAUACGGGCAGACUAGAGUUCGGCAGGGGAGACUGGAAUUCCUGGUGUAGCGGUGAAAUGCGCAGAUAUCAGGAGGAACACCGGUGGCGAAAGGCGGGUCUCUGGGGCCGAUACUGGACGCUGAGGAGCGAAAGCGUGGGAGCGACAGGGAUUAGAGUACC